RNAcentral lists this ribosomal RNA (268 nucleotides) under Pseudomonas sp. NA124. Its description in RNAcentral is "partial 16S ribosomal RNA". Lineage: Bacteria; Pseudomonadati; Pseudomonadota; Gammaproteobacteria; Pseudomonadales; Pseudomonadaceae. The record is from RNAcentral.
AACUUUUAGAGUUUGAUUCCUGGCUCAGGACCUUAUGUGAUGGAUCUGGCUGGUGCCGAAUUUUCGCCGUUUGUUGGCCCAUUUGCCGGUAAUCCUCAAAUUGACUCGCAAGCCAGUAAGUCGGUCGGACCGGUGGGGCUGCAAAGCGGCUUCAGUUCCUCAGCAAUGCCCCCCCGCCCCAUGCCCGUACCUCGGGCGAAGUUUGUGAGGCAGCUAUCUUUUUCCUGACCGGCGGUUGACUCAAGUCGUAACAGGGUAACCGUAAGAG